UAUAGAUUAAUAGGAGGAAUUAUAAAAAAGAGGUUACAUGGAGUAAUUUGAGGAGUUAUAGGGAUUGGUGAUAUGGAGUAAUAGGAAAUGUUAAAUGGAGAGGUUAUAUGGAGUAAUAGGAGGAGUUAUAGGGAGAGGUUAUAUGGAGUAAUAGGUGGAGUUACAGGGAGAGUAUAUGAAGUAAUUGGAGGAGUUAUAGAGAGAGGUUAUAUGGAGUAAUAAGAGGAGUUAUAGUGAGAGUUUAUAUGAAGUAAUAGGUGGAGAUAUAUGGAAUAAUAGGAGGAGUUAUAGAGAGAGGUUAUAUGGAGUAAUAGGAAGAGUUAUAGAGAGAGGCUAUAUGGAGUAAUAGGAGGAGUUAUAGGGAGAGGUUAUAUGGAGUAAUAGGAGGGGUUAUAGAGAGAGGUUAUAUGGAGUAAUAGGAGGAGUUAUAGGGAGAGGUUAUAUGGAGUAAUAGGAGGAGUUAUAGGGAGAGGUUAUAUGGAGUAAUAGGAGGAGUUAUAGAGAGAGGUUAUAUGGAGUAAUAGGAGGAGUUAUAGAGAGGUUAUAUGGAGUAAUAGGGGGAGUUAUAGAGAGAGGUUAUAUUGAGUAAUAUGAGGAGUUAUAGAGAGAGGCUAUAUGGAGUAAUAGGAGGAGUUAUAGGGAGAGGUUAUAUGGAGUAAUAGGAGGAGUUAUAGGGAGAGGUUAUAUGGAGUAAUAGAAGGAGUUAUAGGGAGAGGUUAUAUGGAGUAAUAGGAGGAGUUAUAGAGAGAGGUUAUAUGGAGUAAUGGGAGGAGUUAUAGAGAGAGGUUAUAUGGAGUAAUAGGAGGAGUUACAGAGAGAGGUUAUAUGGAGUAAUAGGAGGAGUUAUAGGGAGAGGUUAUAUGGAGUAAUAGGAGGAGUUAUAGAGAGAGGUUAUAUGGAGUAAUAGGAGGAGUUAUAGGGAGAGGUUAUAUGGAGUAAUAGGGGGAGUUAUAGAGAGAGGUUAUAUGGAGUAAUAGGAGGAGUUAUAGAAAGAGGUUAUACAGAGUAAUAGGAGGAGUUAUAGGGAGAGGUUAUAUGGAGUAAUAGGAGGAGUUAUAUGGAGAAGUUAUAUGGAGUAAUAGGAGGAGUUAUAGGGAGAAGUUAUAUGGAGUAUUUAGGAGGAGUUACGUUAUAAAUAGAGGUUAUGUGGAGUCAUAGGUUAUGGGGAUGUUAUGGAGCAAUUUCAGUGUGAUAAUUAAGUUCUUAAAUUCUUAACUGCCAGACUACAAUGUGGUCUCUCCAUUGUCCUUGGAUAACAUAUAGGUUGAUUGAAC
Non-coding RNA from Pelobates cultripes (western spadefoot toad), 1274 nucleotides. The record is from the annotation of a GenBank genome assembly. Lineage: Eukaryota; Metazoa; Chordata; Amphibia; Anura; Pelobatidae.